GCUUCGGAUACUCCAAAUAAGCUGCAGUCCACAGCGUGCGUCAUUGCGGAGCGGCGCGUCCAACCCACAGUUGGUUAAUGGGAAUCCGCUGACGGAGCACAACCAGUCGUUCGCGCGGGCACGUGUAUGCGCGUAUCAGGAGGUCUUCGACUGAAACUGGAUGGAAAGUCUUGACUGCGACGACACCGACCCGGCGGGAAAUUGUCUUACGGCGAACGGAGUGUUAUUCCCACGAUGCGCUGACUUCUAGGACAUGUUCACAGUGAUCAUCGGUUACAGAUAAACUCCACCUGGCGUCUCCACUCCGUCGGCAGCCAUGGCUCUCUCUGUAUCUGGAGGGACCCUGUUCACCGUCCUCCUCAUUAGCAGAUGGUGAGAAACAACACUGUAGGUAAUUGAUAUGAGUAUGUGGUAGGAAGACCCUGGGAAAGUGGAUUCAUCUCGGCCUGGAGGCAAUCAGCACGAGGUGUUCAGCCUUGAUAGCUUCUGUGAUUUAGUGAUUAAGAGCUGCUGCCGGUGGAAUACAAAUGUGCUACAACCAUUUCCACCAACAUACAUGGCGACAUUAUUGACUCAGAUGCUGAAGACGACCCAGGACCUUCGUAUCGCGAACGAAAAGCUCAUAAAAGGUCAAGAAAGUUGCACAUUCAUUAAGCAGAAAAGGAC
Molecule: long non-coding RNA, 666 nt
Organism: Gasterosteus aculeatus aculeatus (three-spined stickleback)
Lineage: Eukaryota; Metazoa; Chordata; Actinopteri; Perciformes; Gasterosteidae
Source: Ensembl